GUAAGCCGUGUGCGGGAAAACCGCACGCACGGUUUGAACGGGGGCCCUACCGGCAU
Enhygromyxa salina is the source of this 56-nucleotide non-coding RNA. NCBI's taxonomy places the organism in Bacteria, Pseudomonadati, Myxococcota, Nannocystales, Nannocystaceae. The record is from Rfam.